GCCAGGUGCAGUGGCGCACACCUGUAAUCCCAGUGGCUCAGGAGGCUGAGAAAGGAGGAUCCCGAGUUCAAAGCCAGCCUCAGCAACUUAGCAAGGCCCUAAGCAUCUCAGUGAGACCCUGUCUCUA
This 127-nucleotide small RNA is filed under the name Marmota monax (woodchuck). Lineage: Eukaryota; Metazoa; Chordata; Mammalia; Rodentia; Sciuridae. The record is from RNAcentral.